Molecule: unclassified non-coding RNA, 327 nt
Filed under: uncultured Microascaceae
Lineage: Eukaryota; Fungi; Ascomycota; Sordariomycetes; Microascales
Description: sequence contains ITS1
Rfam family: 5.8S ribosomal RNA (bases 1-105)
Source: RNAcentral
GAAAUGCGAUAAGUAAUGUGAAUUGCAGAAUUCAGUGAAUCAUCGAAUCUUUGAACGCACAUUGCGCCCGGCAGUAAUCUGCCGGGCAUGCCUGUCCGAGCGUCAUUUCUGCCCUCGAGCGCGGUUCGGCCCUGAGGGCCGUCCGCCGCCCGGCGUUGGGGCGCUACCGGGACAUCCCCCGUAGGCCCCGAAAUGUAGUGGCGGUCCCGCCGCGGCGCCCCCUGCGUAGUAGACAUACAAUCGCAUCGGGUCCCGGCGGAGGCCAGCCGUCAAACCUUCCACUGAUAGUUUGACCUCGGAUCAGGUAGGGUUACCCGCUGAACUUAA